UACGAAGGGGGCUAGCGUUGUUCGGAAUUACUGGGCGUAAAGGGCGCGUAGGCGGCGUGUCAGGUCAGGCGUGAAAGCCCCGGGCUCAACCUGGGAACCGCGCUUGAGACUGGCAUGCUCGAGUUCGGGAGAGGAUGGUGGAAUUCCCAGUGUAGAGGUGAAAUUCGUAGAUAUUGGGAAGAACACCGGUGGCGAAGGCGGCUCUCUGGACCGAGACUGACGCUGAGGCGCGAAAGCGUGGGGAGCAAACAGG
RNAcentral lists this ribosomal RNA (253 nucleotides) under uncultured bacterium. Its description in RNAcentral is "partial 16S ribosomal RNA". It matches the Rfam family "Bacterial small subunit ribosomal RNA", at positions 524 to 776 of the family's 1533-position model. The record is from RNAcentral.